AUGAAGCGCAAAAGCGAAAAGAGGCGACCUGAGUCGAUGAAAAAGCGCCGUGCAGCUCAGAAAGAGGAGGCGGAGCUAAAGUCAGAUAUUCACAUUAGUGUAUCAGAUCAACUGUAUUUCGCAGUACUGCAGCAGAAGAUAAAAAGCACAGCUGACAGACAUUGCUUCUGCAUAGAUGAUGAGCUGUCAUAUGAAAACUUCUAUGCAGACUUUGGCCCGCUCAACCUGGCCAUGUUUUAUCACUUCUGUUGCAAGCUCACUAAAAAGCUCAAGUCAUGCACACUAGCGAAGAAGAAGAUAGUCUUCUACACCUGUGGAGAUCAAAAGAAACAAGCCAACGCUGCUUAUCUUAUUGGUUCAUAUGCAGUGAUGCAUCUUCAGAAGACGCCAGAGGAAGCCUACAGUCUACUGGUGUCCAGGAACUCUACCUACUUACCCUUCAGAGAUGCCUCUUUUGGAACCUGCAUGUACAAUCUGAACAUUCUAGACUGCCUGUGCGCCGUAUACAAGGCUUUGCAGUUUGGCUGGCUUGAUUUCUCCCAGUUUGAUGUGGAGGAAUACGAACAUUACGAGAGAGCAGAAAAUGGAGAUUUCAACUGGAUAAUUCCUGGAAAAUUCCUAGCGUUCAGCGGUCCUCAUCCAAAAAGCAAAAUGGAGAACGGUUACCCUCUUCAUGCCCCCGAGGCCUACUUUCCUUACUUCACGAAACACAAUAUCACAACCAUCGUCCGUCUCAACAAGAAGAUGUAUGACGCAAAGCGUUUCACCGACAUGGGCUUCGAGCACCACGACCUCUUCUUCGUGGACGGGAGCACGCCAAACGACUCCAUUGUCAGGAAGUUCCUCAACAUCUGUGAGAACGCAGACGGAGCUAUCGCUGUUCACUGCAAAGCUGGUCUGGGUCGAACAGGCACCCUGAUAGGCUGCUACAUGAUGAAGCACUACCGCCUGACUGCGGCUGAGGCCAUCGCCUGGAUGCGUAUCUGCCGGCCCGGAUCAGUCAUCGGACCACAACAAAACUUUGUGGAAGAUAAGCAGAGCAGUCUGUGGUCCGAGGGCGACGUGUUCCGGGAGAAAAUGAACGAGCAGGAAAACGGCAAGCUGGCGGUCACCAGGAUCCUGUCGGGGGUUGAUGACAUCACCAUCAACGGCAGCAACAAGAACAAGAUGUCCAAGAAAGAAGAGGCGGAACUGUAUAAUGAUGAUGAGGAGAUGAACGGCAUCACGCAGGGUGAUAAACUGCGAGCCCUGAAAAGCAAGAGACAGGCCAGAGCAUCCACAGGCUCCCUAUCACAAGAAGAAAAAAACAUCCACAGCAGGUCAUCGCAGUCUUUAAGGAUUCUCCUUCAGUCCAGUGGGCAGAGCUAUAAAGCUGUGGUGAACCCCUCCCAUCUCCCUGAUGCCUCUGAGAAAAGGAAGAGAACCAGAACCUCACUGCCUGCCAAUAGUGUGGGGGGCAGCUCCCUGUGCCACUCCAGACUAGCCAGGUCUCUAGACAGCAUGCAGGUAGUGGCCAGUGACAGAGAGCCAGUGUGCCGUGAGCCCAGUGGCUGCCGUAGAGACACAGUCAACCUGCCCAACAUAAACAUGCUGCAGGCCCCUCGGAAGGCAAGCCCCUCAACCUUUUCUCUGGGCUCAACCUCACUCUCUCCUACUCUGCGGGUCCCCCACACACCAAGGGUCUGCUUAACUUUACAUUUCAUAUGAGCAAACGCCUUCUAUAUCUGUUUGUACUCUAGGCUUCCGACACUCCGGCUCAAGCAAUUGAACAGUCUCUCCAGCUUUUUACACUCCCUACGUCUUUUUGCAUGUCCUACUGGAAUGGAUGAUGCAGGAGGAUGACUGGCUAUCACUUCUCUGGACUUUUACUGCUCACACUGUCUCCUUGCUUUCAGACCCCGACAACCUUUUGUUGGCUGUUGGCGAUUCUGCUGAGAAGUCAUUGGGGAAUCAAUCAUAUAACCCUUUCAUUUUUCUUUCACCCUUUUUUACUUUUUAAUUUCACUCCUAACAGACGCACUGUGUCCAGAAGACGGAGAACUCAAUGCUCUUUACAAUCAAUGCGCUUAACGAGACUAUGUCACUCCAUACCAAAAGCUAGAGCUCCUCUACUGCGCUGAGCCUGGGGUCACGGAAUUCUAAAAGAGUUCUACAGGAGUCCAGUCUACCCCACAGCUCCUGAAAAUUUAGAUUUUGUUUUCAUUUCUUAAAAGGGACUGGGUGUAUUUUUCUUGAACCAGUCCAGUCGAUUUUUGAUAAAGGGAUGAUGUUCGAUGAGGAAAUGAUGCAUCUGAUUGUGAAUGGGAAGAACGAGUUAUCAGAUAUGAUUGAAGAUGUAAACCAUGUUUGGUUGGUUUGGAAUUAAUUUGCCAACUCUCUUUAUCAAAAGGCACGUCUUUUAUUAUAUAUUUCACUGUUUAUUAUGGAACAAAAUUUAAAAAAGGUUGUGUGCAUCUUAAAAUGAAACCCUGUUCUCUAUACACUAGUCCUGGCCAUAAGUAGUGGAAAUAGUGUUCCAUUUCACACAUUCGUUGCCUGCUUGUUUACAUACUAGUAGAGGGUUGCCAUAGCAAUCCAGACUGAUCCUGAACCAUCAGACUGUCAAUCUGCUUGUUGGUGAAGGUCCUCCAGAGGUAGUCACCAUCCACUUUUCUUAACCUUUUGUAUGAUCUAGGUCAGGUCAUGUCCAGCUGUUUGGAAGUUGAGGUGUUUUGUAGAUGAAAUCAUUUGUGAAAAGCUCAUGUCGGCCCUCUUGAACAUGCACCAUGUCUACUCUAGGGGGUAUGCUCUUUGGGGAGCAUCUUUCAGAAUGUUAUAGACAGAUAUGUCAUGCACAGAAGUAAUACAAUGCCACCCUCUUUUCAAUAAUCGAUGGUUUGUCCAGAGUUGUAAAUCCUAAUUUCGCUUGUUGUAUUUCACUUGGCUCUAUUCAAUCCGUAUUGCGGAUGUUCAACGUUCCUGCUCGAUUGAAAUUGAAUGGCAACGUUCCCGCGUUAGCGGAGACUGCGUUCACGGUAAACUCUGCAUAUGUCCGUUCAAUCAGAAAUGAUCUUUACAUUUCUAGCUCUUCAGCGACGCAGACUGAAUAGCACCCUUAAUAUGCUCCAGCUUUCUUUCAUUCUCCAGUGACGCUUCCAGUCGGUUGUCUUUUUUGUUGUUGAGCUGCUGUACUUAAACUGUAAAUAAGUCAACAUUUUGAUAUACUGAAAAAUGUAUUUGUACUUUGUAAAUAUUUUUGUACUUGUUAUGAUCAACCAUGCUAUCAAUUGUAAUCAGUCUUACAUACAAAAUGGUCCUAAAGGGGCCUCAUCUCAUUCGUGAUUAUCGUGCAUUAUAUAUCUGCUUGGAGCACAUGGAGUAUACCAGCUUUCUAAAAUAAAAUGCCACCAAUUAUACUGAC
This is an RNA transcript of Salvelinus namaycush (lake trout), 3400 nucleotides long. It is a transcript of the gene named cell division cycle 14B, with no coding region annotated. The record is from RefSeq and is a predicted model, not a curated record. NCBI's taxonomy places the organism in Eukaryota, Metazoa, Chordata, Actinopteri, Salmoniformes, Salmonidae. The transcript has 16 exons.